This 422-nucleotide ribosomal RNA is filed under the name uncultured bacterium. Its description in RNAcentral is "bacterial SSU rRNA". It matches the Rfam family "Bacterial small subunit ribosomal RNA", at positions 28 to 432 of the family's 1533-position model. The record is from RNAcentral.
GACGAACGCUGGCGGCGUGCUUAACACAUGCAAGUCGAACGGACUUUAGCGGUUGAAGUUUUCGGACGGAAACUGCGAAGAGUUAGUGGCGGACGGGUGAGUAACGCGUGAGGAACCUGCCUUUCAGAGGGGGACAACAGUUGGAAACGACUGCUAAUACCGCAUAAUGCAGCAGUACCGCAUGGUACCACUGCCAAAGAUUUAUCGCUGAAAGAUGGCCUCGCGUCUGAUUAGAUAGUUGGUGGGGUAACGGCCUACCAAGUCGACGAUCAGUAGCCGGACUGAGAGGUUGAACGGCCACAUUGGGACUGAGACACGGCCCAGACUCCUACGGGAGGCAGCAGUGGGGAAUAUUGGGCAAUGGGCGAAAGCCUGACCCAGCGACGCCGCGUNAGGGAAGAAGGUCUUCGGAUUGAAACCUU